This 2124-nucleotide long non-coding RNA is filed under the name Mus musculus (house mouse). Its description in RNAcentral is "long non-coding RNA chrX:98939905-98942029". The record is from RNAcentral. Lineage: Eukaryota; Metazoa; Chordata; Mammalia; Rodentia; Muridae.
GUUAGACGAGUUGAGAGACCACUUCAGUGUUAUGGGAGCGAAUAGGCACUAAUACUUUGAAAUACUUUUGUUUGGUUCUUUGAUUUUUUUUUAAAUAUAUUUCUUCUACUGAAAUGUAAGAGUCCCCCUAUGACUGAGUUGUUAGUGUUCUUGGCAAACAGGGGCCUUCAUGGUGCUUUGAUCAGCACAGGACAUGGAGUUAUUUUUGUUUUUCAGAUGCGAGAUCUAAAAGCUGUGGGAAGGAAAUUUAUGCAUGUUUUAUAUCCAAGGAAGAGUAAUGCACUGUUAAGAGACUGUGAGUAUAUGAGGUUUUUGAGGAUUUCUUUCAAACCAUUGAUAGUUUAUUGGUUCUGCUUUAUAAAGCAAAGGAAAAAGUAAUAAGGCGGAUGCUGCUGUUUUGCAGGACUAAACAGUUCUGUAAAUGAAAUUGUUGGCAGAAGUUUAGAACAGAAUUUCAGAAGUUGAGAGGCCUGGCUCAUCAUAUUAAGUUCACCAAUAAACAUGAACGUAGAACCUGCUCACAGUUGAAUUUGCUAAUGUGAUUUGGCUGUCGUUAGGAAUCCAAGGUGAUUGAGAUUCUCUCUAGGCCCUGACAUCACAGGCAGAAUAUCUUACUUGAAUAUUGUGUCCAUGUGGAGAACAGAUUGUCCAUAGCUCUUAAUGUGCUAGAAUGGGGAUUAGGAAAUGAAGAAAGGGUAAUUUAUGACACGUGAAAAUAACAAACCUUAAAGGAUAUAUGAAGUAAGGGAGGGAAACAGAAAGGUUGGGAAGGCUUAGGUAAACCUUGCUGCUAGGAUUCUGAGUGGAAGGUAAGUAAUUAGGUAAAGAUAGAAAAUAUGGCAUAUUGGUUUCUUAGCAUCUUGUCUUUCCUCUCAUUGUAGGGGACCUGUGGGGCCCAUUGAUACUUUGUGUGACACUUGCAUUGUAAGUAUUUAUACUUCUUCCUCACUGGAGCCUGUUUUUGUUUAGUUUUGUUUUAAUGGGCUUUCCAGAAUUAAGGAAAAAAUUGACUAGGCCUUUAGGGCGUCUUCUAUUUUUUUUAAUUUAUUUAUUAAGAAAGAAAAGAUAAGAGUUGUAGUAUGUAGCCCACACUAUCCUGGAACUUUCUGUGUAGCCCAGGCUGGCCUCAAACUUGUGCUUCUCCUGCUCCAACUUCUGAGUCCUAGUAUUUCAAGUAUGCACCACCACACCAUAACUUAAAAUUUAUAUUUAUUGUAUACUCAUUUAGAUUAUAAUGUAGUUUCACUUUCUUGUUCUUUUAAUAAUCACAUCAAGGAAACUGGUUCUGUGCCUUGAAAGGAUAUGUGUUAAGAGCUCUUGAAAAAAUAUAUAUAUUGCUGAGUUUUAAAAGAUUAACCUUAGAGCAUAUGUAGUUUCACUACACUUAUUUUCAGAGACAACUGUAGGCCUAAAAUGAACUCACGUGACAUGUCUAGUGAUAGUACUAGCAUCAGUAUUGGGUCCCUUGCCUCCCAGCUUAGUUCAUAUUCUUGCCACCUGACCAUACUCAAGUGAUAGGGGUUCCAGAGAACAGAUUCCAGCACAUUCUCUGUACCCAGUGCUCCGGACUUGGAAUAGAACACACACAGCCGUAGAAUACAAACGCCUGCACAUACUAUCAGGCAGUGUAACCGGGUAAGACUUAAUAUAUAACAUCUUUAUCCUAUGUAAUAUGAGGUUAUGGACUUUUUUAUUAUUUUUCAGGAAAAACAUACUGAGUCUAAGUAUUCUAAGUUCAGAAUUCAAAACAUUUUACAUCUAUUAAAUUUUUAGAUGCAGAAUAUUUAAGUGACAGUUCAGUAUUUACUCAGCUUCAAGGCAAAGGUUUUUAGAAAUUUUAUAUGUGUUUAUGUGUGUAUGUGUGUAUUAUAUAUGUAUGUGCGUGUGUGUGUAUAUAUAUAUAUAUAUAUAUAUAUAUAUAUAUAUAUAUACUGAUUUUUAAAAAUCAGCAACGAAAUAAGUUUAAAGAGUAUUUCUGCUAUUAAGCAUUCGCUCUAAAACCUUAGUGCACGAAUUAGAAAUUCAUAGCUGAGCAUGCUGCCUGUAACCCUGGCACUUAAGAAGCUGAGGCAAGAAGAUGACAGGUUAGAGGCUUAGCCUAGGCCACACAACUAGACCUUGUUU